This 1506-nucleotide ribosomal RNA is filed under the name metagenome. RNAcentral describes it as "bacterial SSU rRNA". It matches the Rfam family "Bacterial small subunit ribosomal RNA". The record is from RNAcentral.
AGAGUUUGAUCCUGGCUCAGGACGAACGCUGGCGGCGUGCCUAAUACAUGCAAGUAGAACGCUGAAGAGAGGAACUUGCUCUUCUUGGAUGAGUUGCGAACGGGUGAGUAACGCGUAGGUAACCUGCCUUGUAGCGGGGGAUAACUAUUGGAAACGAUAGCUAAUACCGCAUAACAAUGGAUGACCCAUGUCAUUUAUUUGAAAGGGGCAAAUGCUCCACUACAAGAUGGACCUGCGUUGUAUUAGCUAGUAGGUGAGGUAACGGCUCACCUAGGCGACGAUACAUAGCCGACCUGAGAGGGUGAUCGGCCACACUGGGACUGAGACACGGCCCAGACUCCUACGGGAGGCAGCAGUAGGGAAUCUUCGGCAAUGGGGGCAACCCUGACCGAGCAACGCCGCGUGAGUGAAGAAGGUUUUCGGAUCGUAAAGCUCUGUUGUAAGUCAAGAACGAGUGUGAGAGUGGAAAGUUCACACUGUGACGGUAGCUUACCAGAAAGGGACGGCUAACUACGUGCCAGCAGCCGCGGUAAUACGUAGGUCCCGAGCGUUGUCCGGAUUUAUUGGGCGUAAAGCGAGCGCAGGCGGUUUGAUAAGUCUGAAGUUAAAGGCUGUGGCUCAACCAUAGUUCGCUUUGGAAACUGUCAAACUUGAGUGCAGAAGGGGAGAGUGGAAUUCCAUGUGUAGCGGUGAAAUGCGUAGAUAUAUGGAGGAACACCGGUGGCGAAAGCGGCUCUCUGGUCUGUAACUGACGCUGAGGCUCGAAAGCGUGGGGAGCGAACAGGAUUAGAUACCCUGGUAGUCCACGCCGUAAACGAUGAGUGCUAGGUGUUGGAUCCUUUCCGGGAUUCAGUGCCGCAGCUAACGCAUUAAGCACUCCGCCUGGGGAGUACGACCGCAAGGUUGAAACUCAAAGGAAUUGACGGGGGCCCGCACAAGCGGUGGAGCAUGUGGUUUAAUUCGAAGCAACGCGAAGAACCUUACCAGGUCUUGACAUCCCGAUGCUAUUUCUAGAGAUAGAAAGUUACUUCGGUACAUCGGUGACAGGUGGUGCAUGGUUGUCGUCAGCUCGUGUCGUGAGAUGUUGGGUUAAGUCCCGCAACGAGCGCAACCCCUAUUGUUAGUUGCCACCAUUCAGUUGGGCACUCUAGCGAGACUGCCGGUAAUAAACCGGAGGAAGGUGGGGAUGACGUCAAAUCAUCAUGCCCCUUAUGACCUGGGCUACACACGUGCUACAAUGGUUGGUACAACGAGUUGCGAGUCGGUGACGGCAAGCUAAUCUCUUAAAGCCAAUCUCAGUUCGGAUUGUGGGCUGCAACUCGCCUACAUGAAGUCGGAAUCGCUAGUAAUCGCGGAUCAGCACGCCGCGGUGAAUACGUUCCCGGGCCUUGUACACACCGCCCGUCACACCACGAGAGUUUGUAACACCCGAAGUCGGUGAGGUAACCUUUUGGAGCCAGCCGCCUAAGGUGGGAUAGAUGAUUGGGGUGAAGUCGUAACAAGGUA